Agrilus planipennis (emerald ash borer) is the source of this 446-nucleotide long non-coding RNA. RefSeq lists it as uncharacterized. The record is from RefSeq and is a predicted model, not a curated record. Lineage: Eukaryota; Metazoa; Arthropoda; Insecta; Coleoptera; Buprestidae. The transcript has 3 exons.
GUCAAUUAGUCCUGUUAAAAAAUUGUACAUUGGUCAAAAUGCAGUAUAAUCUUAAAAUUUGUAAUUAUUAUCAACAUAAAAAUGAAAUUCUUAAAUACGAUUGAAUUACAGUUGAAGGAGGUUAAGGAUACCAAUAUCAUUCUACAGAUCAAGUAAGGACUCGUAUUUGAUAAAUCAUCAAAACAUGGUGUUUGUUAGAUAAUACUGAAACGUAGACCCUGUCUGUGCUGAAAAUCAAGAAUAAUGGAGUAACUCUAAACAUCAUGUGUGAUUGGGCUUUGAUUGAAGCCUUUGCUGUUAACUCCAGAAAGUAGUUAAUGGGUUUUGUCUACUGAACAACAGGGAAGCAACUUUGGACAUCAUGUGUAGUUAGGCUUUGAUUGAAGCCUUUGCUGUUUCACUACAGAAAGAAGUCAGUGGGUUUUGUCUACUGAACACAACUACAA